GCGGACUGCAAGUGGAAAACGAAAACUUGUAUUUUUCAGAAAAUCUGUAAAAAAAUUUUCCAAAAAUUUUUUUUUGCAUAAAAUAUUCACUUAUUUUGGGCUUUUGCAAAACCGGGCCACCUUUUUCGUUUUUGCAAAUUCGGUCCGCUUUUUCAGCAAACUGACCAAAAUACCCUUAUUACUUUUUCUCUUUCCUCUUUCUCUCUUCUCUUCGUUCUCUCGUUCUUUUUUUUUUUUUCGCCGAAAAAAAAAAACGACAGCCGGAGCACCGCUAGGCGGGCUCUUCUUCUUCUUCUUCUUCUUCUUCUUCUUCCUGCAGGAGCAAUUUUAUUUUCUCUUUUUUUUUUCUUCUUCUUCUUUCUCCGCUCGCCACGGA
This 376-nucleotide long non-coding RNA is filed under the name Ananas comosus (pineapple). Its description in RNAcentral is "long non-coding RNA (ACOM_LNC040628)". Lineage: Eukaryota; Viridiplantae; Streptophyta; Magnoliopsida; Poales; Bromeliaceae. The record is from RNAcentral.